CGUAGGUGGCAAGCGUUGUCCGGAAUUAUUGGGCGUAAAGCGCGCGCAGGCGGUCUCUUAAGUCUGAUGUGAAAGCCCACGGCUCAACCGUGGAGGGUCAUUGGAAACUGGGAGACUUGAGUGCAGAAGAGGAGAGCGGAAUUCCACGUGUAGCGGUGAAAUGCGUAGAGAUGUGGAGGAACACCAGUGGCGAAGGCGGCUCUCUGGUCUGUAACUGACGCUGAGGCGCGAAAGCGUGGGGAGCGAACAGGAUU
RNAcentral lists this ribosomal RNA (254 nucleotides) under uncultured bacterium. RNAcentral describes it as "partial 16S ribosomal RNA". It matches the Rfam family "Bacterial small subunit ribosomal RNA", at positions 526 to 779 of the family's 1533-position model. The record is from RNAcentral.